This 858-nucleotide ribosomal RNA is filed under the name Lecanora cernohorskyana. RNAcentral's name for it is "mitochondrial SSU rRNA". It matches the Rfam family "Bacterial small subunit ribosomal RNA", at positions 369 to 1216 of the family's 1533-position model. The record is from RNAcentral. Lineage: Eukaryota; Fungi; Ascomycota; Lecanoromycetes; Lecanorales; Lecanoraceae.
CAAUAGCCUAACGGCUGAACCAGCACUUGGAGGAUGUAUAGCGAAAGCUAGUUGUAUUAAUAUAUCUUUAGUUAAUGCAGCAUCGACUAUGUCGAAUAAAGUUCUAGGUAGAGUUAUGAUAAUGACAUUUUCUACCUAUGUGUCUUGACCAAGUCACGUGCCAGCAGUCGCGGAAAUACGUGGAAGACUAGUGUUAUUCAUCUUUAAUAGGUUUAAAGGGUACUUAGACGGUAAAUUUAGCCCAGAUAAAAAAAAAGGGUACUAAUAUACUAGAGUUUUGUAUGUGAGGAGGGAGUGUACAAAUGGUGUAGAGAUGAAAUUCUGUCAUACCAUUAGGACAGGCAACGGCGCAAGCAACCUUUUGUGUGAAAACUGACGUUGACGGACGAAGGCUUUGUAACGCCAACAGGAUUAGAUACCCAAGUAGUCUGAGCAGACAAUUAUGAAUGUCAUAGAUAAGAAAAAAAUCUUUUCUUAUCUUCUAAAAGAGAUAAGAAAAGAUUCUUAUCUCUUGUAAAAGAGAUAGAUGUAAUUUUGUCUAUAAAUGAAAGUGUAAGCAUUCCACCUCAAGAGUAAUGCGGCAACGCAUAAACUGAAAUCAUUAGACCGUUUCUGAAACCAGUAGUGAAGUAUGUUGUUUAAUUUGACGGUCCGCACAAAACCUUACCACAAUUUGUAUAUUAUUAUCUUAAUACAGGAGUUGCACGGCUGUCUUCAGUUAAUGUCGUGAGAUUUUGGUUAGUUCCAUUAAAUUAACGUAAACCCAUACUUUAUUUAUGUUAUAAAGUAGUUCGCCGCUAUAUUGGAUAUGAUAAAAGGGACUAAGACAAGUCAUCAUGGCCUGAAUAUUGUGGGCUA